This 410-nucleotide ribosomal RNA is filed under the name uncultured Flavobacteriia bacterium. RNAcentral describes it as "bacterial SSU rRNA". It matches the Rfam family "Bacterial small subunit ribosomal RNA", at positions 370 to 779 of the family's 1533-position model. Lineage: Bacteria; Pseudomonadati; Bacteroidota; Flavobacteriia. The record is from RNAcentral.
AAUGGGCGCAAGCCUGACCCAGCCAUGCCGCGUGCAGGAAGAAUGCCUAUGGGUUGUAAACUGCUUUUAUUUAGGAAUAACCCCUUUACGUGUAGAGGGCUGAAUGUACUAAACGAAUAAGCACCGGCUAACUCCGUGCCAGCAGCCGCGGUAAUACGGAGGGUGCAAGCGUUAUCCGGAAUCAUUGGGUUUAAAGGGUCCGCAGGCGGAUGUAUAAGUCAGUGGUGAAAUCCUGCAGCUUAACUGCAGAACUGCCAUUGAUACUGUACAUCUUGAAUUCGGUCGAAGUGGGCGGAAUGUGUAGUGUAGCGGUGGAAUGCAUAGAUAUUACACAGAACACCGAUAGCGAAGGCAGCUCACUAGGCCUGGAUUGACGCUCAGGGACGAAAGCGUGGGGAUCAAACAGGAUU